ACGAACGCUGGCGGCGUGCCUAAUACAUGCAAGUCGAGCGGAGUGAUGAAGAAGCUUGCUUCUUCUGAUUUUAGCGGCGGACGGGUGAGUAACACGUGGGCAACCUACCUUGUAGAUUGGGAUAACUCCGGGAAACCGGGGCUAAUACCGAAUAAUCCAUUUUGCUUCAUGGCGAGAUGUUGAAAGACGGUUUCGGCUGUCACUAUAAGAUGGGCCCGCGGCGCAUUAGCUAGUUGGUAGGGUAAUGGCCUACCAAGGCGACGAUGCGUAGCCGACCUGAGAGGGUGAUCGGCCACACUGGGACUGAGACACGGCCCAGACUCCUACGGGAGGCAGCAGUAGGGAAUCUUCCACAAUGGACGAAAGUCUGAUGGAGCAACGCCGCGUGAGUGAAGAAGGUUUUCGGAUCGUAAAACUCUGUUGUAAGGGAAGAACACGUACGAGAGUAACUGCUCGUACCUUGACGGUACCUUAUUAGAAAGCCACGGCUAACUACGUG
Molecule: ribosomal RNA, 499 nt
Filed under: uncultured bacterium
Lineage: Bacteria
Description: bacterial SSU rRNA
Rfam family: Bacterial small subunit ribosomal RNA
Source: RNAcentral